This 465-nucleotide ribosomal RNA is filed under the name uncultured bacterium. RNAcentral describes it as "partial 16S ribosomal RNA". It matches the Rfam family "Bacterial small subunit ribosomal RNA", at positions 338 to 795 of the family's 1533-position model. The record is from RNAcentral.
CCUACGGGUGGCAGCAGUGGGGAAUCUUGCGCAAUGGGCGAAAGCCUGACGCAGCGACGCCGCGUGAGGGAUGAAGGUCUUCGGAUCGUAAACCUCUGUCAGCAGGGAAGAACGGUCACUGUGCUAAUCAGCAGUGAAUUGACGGUACCUGCAAAGGAAGCAACGGCUAACUCCGUGCCAGCAGCCGCGGUAAUACGUAGGGGGCGAGCGUUGACCGGAAUUAUUGGGCGUAAAGCGAGCGUAGGCGGUAUGUGAAGUCAAUGGUGAAAGCCCCGGGCUCAACGGGGGAAGGGCCUUGGAAACUGGGAGACUGGAGUGUGUGAGAGGAGAGUGGAAGUCCAGGUGUAGGAGUGAAAUCCGUAGAUAUCUGGAGGAACACCAGUGGCGAAGGCGACUAUCUGGCACAUAACUGACGCUGAGGAGCGAAAGCGUGGGUAGCAAACAGGAUUAGAUACCCGGGUAGUC